GGGGGAUUAGCUCAAAUGGCAGAGCGCCCGCUUAGCACUUUCGAUAGCUUGCGGGAGGCAGGGAGAUCGAUACUCCCAUUCUCCA
This is a non-coding RNA of Thoreauomyces humboldtii, 85 nucleotides long. The record is from the annotation of a GenBank genome assembly. Lineage: Eukaryota; Fungi; Chytridiomycota; Chytridiomycetes; Spizellomycetales; Powellomycetaceae.